RNAcentral lists this ribosomal RNA (301 nucleotides) under uncultured bacterium. RNAcentral's name for it is "partial 16S ribosomal RNA". It matches the Rfam family "Bacterial small subunit ribosomal RNA", at positions 509 to 807 of the family's 1533-position model. The record is from RNAcentral.
CAGCCGCCGCGGUAAUACAGAGGGUGCGAGCGUUAAUCGGAUUUACUGGGCGUAAAGCGUGCGUAGGCGGCUUCUUAAGUCGGAUGUGAAAUCCCUGAGCUUAACUUAGGAAUUGCAUUCGAUACUGGGAAGCUAGAGUAUGGGAGAGGAUGGUAGAAUUCCAGGUGUAGCGGUGAAAUGCGUAGAGAUCUGGAGGAAUACCGAUGUCGAAGGCAGCCAUCUGGCCUAAUACUGACGCUGAGGUACGAAAGCAUGGGGAGCAAACAGGAUUAGAUACCCCUGUAGUCCCUGUCUCUUAUAC